This is a long non-coding RNA of Anguilla anguilla (European eel), 1172 nucleotides long. RefSeq lists it as uncharacterized. The record is from RefSeq and is a predicted model, not a curated record. NCBI's taxonomy places the organism in Eukaryota, Metazoa, Chordata, Actinopteri, Anguilliformes, Anguillidae. The transcript has 4 exons.
CAGCCUGAAAUGGAGCCAUUUUAAGAGGAGUUAUGUGAACAGGAGGACUGAGCAUUGAUCUGCUCCAAAAGCCAAGGACCAAUCAUACUGGGCGUCUGUCCGGCCCGGGUGAAUGACUGACAGAUGAAAUGGCUAAAUGACAGGCGUGUGUGUGGAGCGAAGGUGAUGGGGGCAGGGAGGACUGCUGCUGACGGUGGAACACGCGUCAUGGCAACAGGAGACACACAGCCAGCCUGAAAUGGAACCAUUUUAAGAGGAGUUGUGUGAGCAGGUGGGCUGAACAUCAAUUUGCUCAAAAAGCUAAAGGACACGGUACUCUGGACCACAACUGAAAAGCGAGCUUGAAUAAACUCCACCUGAAGCAGUAAACCCUCCAGAUGUGCACAUUCAACUAAAACAGUAUCUCUAAAACCCCACAAAAGGAACAUCCCCCCUCAACUGUAGGAUCCAGGUGUGCCUUAUAGUAACCGUCUGUUCUCGGCCAUCACCCCCAUGCAUGACCCUUCCCCACUGAUCACCUGAUCUUUUCAAUGGAUCAACAGGGGGCUUGUGCAGGCCCUCCAGCUACCUUUCAGAAAAGAAAUAUGGAGGGAAAGAGAGACGAGGAAGGGAGAGGGGGAAAUCAGCAGAGAGAAAAAGAAUGAGAAAUGUGCUGCCCUCCUCAAGUCUCCCUCCACGGGAAUGAAUUCUUUAAUUAAAAUGCAGCACAAUGGAAAGCAUUCACCCCUGAAAGUGUUAAAAUCAGAAAGGAAACUAAAGGCAGAGGUGGAAAAUCUGACUAAAGGAAUCUAGCAGUGAGAGAUGAAUAGGAGGACAGAAGUGUAUAAUAACAGUUUUUUUUUUAUAGUGAGCAGGCCUGCUGUUCAAAUUCACUUUUUUAUUAUUAAAAAAAAAACCCUUUUGUCCAGAGCAGCCACCUUGUGUAUCGGUGAGGCUCAUAUGAUGAUUUCAACUGCUAUGGUAUAACAUGGAUGGCCAAAGGAGGAGCAGACUGAAUAACAAGGACAAAUUUUAAAUUCUUUUAAUUCAGGAUAAUAAUAUAACUGCUCUAUGCUAGAAUUCAGUUAGAUCAUUCCAAUGUACUGCAUUACUACUGCUUUAUAAAUAGUUAGAUAUGUGUACAAUUCCUAUUCAAACCAUUUAAUAAUUAUUUAUGGAAUGUGUAUAUAUCA